This 567-nucleotide ribosomal RNA is filed under the name Diaporthe ampelina. RNAcentral describes it as "eukaryotic LSU rRNA". The stretch from base 211 to 364 matches the Rfam family "5.8S ribosomal RNA". Lineage: Eukaryota; Fungi; Ascomycota; Sordariomycetes; Diaporthales; Diaporthaceae. The record is from RNAcentral.
UCUCCGUUGGUGAACCAGCGGAGGGAUCAUUGCUGGAACGCGCCCCUGGCGCACCCAGAAACCCUUUGUGAACUCAUACCUUACCGUUGCCUCGGCGCAGGCCGGCCCCCCCCGGGGGGCCCCUCGGAGACGAGGAGCAGGCCCGCCGGCGGCCAAGUUAACUCUUGUUUUUACACUGAAACUCUGAGAAACAAAACACAAAUGAAUCAAAACUUUCAACAACGGAUCUCUUGGUUCUGGCAUCGAUGAAGAACGCAGCGAAAUGCGAUAAGUAAUGUGAAUUGCAGAAUUCAGUGAAUCAUCGAAUCUUUGAACGCACAUUGCGCCCUCUGGUAUUCCGGAGGGCAUGCCUGUUCGAGCGUCAUUUCAACCCUCAAGCCUGGCUUGGUGAUGGGGCACUGCUCCCCCCCCGGGGAGCAGGCCCUGAAAUCCAGUGGCGAGCUCGCCAGGACCCCGAGCGCAGUAGUUAAACCCUCGCUCCGGGAGGCCCUGGCGGUGCCCUGCCGUUAAACCCCCAACUUCUGAAAGUUUGACCUCGGAUCAGGUAGGAAUACCCGCUGAACUUAA